UUUGCGAAAGCUGGAACGAGCGGAUGUGGAGUGACGGCGAACCGAUCGAUCCGUCGCCGACCAUCGAUCAGGCCGUAAAUGGAGGCUUCCCCUGGCUGGAGAUCAGGUGCGCGCGCUGCAAGACGCCGAGCGAGGUCAACCUCGCGGCGGUGAAGCAUCCGCCGGCCACCUUCGUGCACGAUCUCGCCAGCCGGCUGCGCUGUCGCAAAU
Molecule: unclassified non-coding RNA, 210 nt
Filed under: Hevea brasiliensis (rubber tree)
Lineage: Eukaryota; Viridiplantae; Streptophyta; Magnoliopsida; Malpighiales; Euphorbiaceae
Source: RNAcentral